Molecule: ribosomal RNA, 482 nt
Filed under: uncultured bacterium
Lineage: Bacteria
Description: partial 16S ribosomal RNA
Rfam family: Bacterial small subunit ribosomal RNA
Source: RNAcentral
AUUGAACGCUGGCGGCAUGCCUUACACAUGCAAGUCGAACGGUAACGGGCCUUCGGGUGCCGACGAGUGGCGCACGGGGGAGUAAUACAUCGGAACGUGCCCGAUCGUGGGGGGUAACGAGGCGAAAGCUUUGCUAAUAUCGCACACGAUCUACGGAUGAAAGCAGGGGGCCGCAAGGCCCUGCGCGGACGGAGCGGCCGAUGGCAGAUUAGGUAGUUGGUGGGGUAAAAGCUUACCAAGCCGACGAUCUGUAGCUGGUCUGAGAGGAUGAUCAGCCACACUGGGACUGAGACACGGCCCAGACUCCUACGGGAGGCAGCAGUGGGGAAUUUUGGACAAUGGGCGCAAGCCUGAUCCAGCCAUGCCGCGUGCAGGAUGAAGGCCUUCGGGUUGUAAACUGCUUUUGUACGGAACGAAAAGCCUUCUUUUAAUACAGGAGGGUCAUGACGGUACCGUAAGAAUAAGCACCGGCUAACUACGUG